Non-coding RNA from Cyprinodon tularosa, 372 nucleotides. Lineage: Eukaryota; Metazoa; Chordata; Actinopteri; Cyprinodontiformes; Cyprinodontidae. The record is from the annotation of a RefSeq genome assembly.
AUGGAGAAAUCAGGCAUCUGGAGUUUUGUUUUUGUAGUUCUUUUUCAGAGAGUCUGGAGUGAGGUUAGACUGGAUCAAUCAGCCUCUCAGGUGAAGAGACCUGGGGACACAGUGAAGAUGUCUUGUGUCGCUUCUGGUUACAGCAUGACAGGCCCUAAUAUGCACUGGAUAAGACAGAAACCAGGGAGAGCUCUGGAGUGGAUUGGAUAUAUGAGCACUGGUAACAACAAUCCCACCUAUGCCAGCUCCUUUCAAAGUCGUUUCACCAUGACUGAAAAUGUCCCCAGCAGCACCCAGUACCUUGAGAUCAGCAGACUAACAGCAGAAGAUUCUGCUGUUUACUUCUGUGCUCGGAGAGACACUGUGACUUAA